This 74-nucleotide transfer RNA is filed under the name Priestia megaterium. RNAcentral describes it as "Bacillus megaterium tRNA-Asn". It matches the Rfam family "tRNA". Rfam says of the family: Transfer RNA (tRNA) molecules are approximately 80 nucleotides in length. The record is from RNAcentral. Lineage: Bacteria; Bacillati; Bacillota; Bacilli; Caryophanales; Bacillaceae.
UCCACAGAGCUCAGUGGUAGAGCUAUCGGCUGUUAACCGAUCGGUCGUAGGUUCGAGUCCUACCUGUGGAGCCA